GACGAACCGUGCAAACGUUGUUCGGAAUCACUGGGCUUAAAGGGCGCGUAGGCGGGUGGUCAAGUCAGGGGUGAAAUCUUUCAGCUCAACUGGAAAACAGCUUUUGAUACUGGCCAUCUUGAGGGGGGUAGGGGCAUGUGGAACUUCCGGUGGAGCGGUGAAAUGCGUAGAUAUCGGAAGGAACGCCGGUGGCGAAAGCGACGUGCUGGACCCUUUCUGACGCUGAGGCGCGAAAGCCAGGGGAGCAAACGGG
Molecule: ribosomal RNA, 253 nt
Filed under: uncultured bacterium
Lineage: Bacteria
Description: partial 16S ribosomal RNA
Rfam family: Bacterial small subunit ribosomal RNA
Source: RNAcentral